CACGCAGGCGGUUUGGUAAGUCAGAUGUGAAAGCCCACGGCUCAACCGUGGAAGUGCAUUUGAAACUGCUAGACUUGAGUAUCAGAGGGGAAAGUGGAAUUCCCGGUGUAGAGGUGAAAUUCGUAGAUAUCGGGAGGAAUACCGGUGGCGAAGGCGACUUUCUGGCUGAAUACUGACGCUGAGGUGCGAAAGCGUGGGGAGCAAACA
Molecule: ribosomal RNA, 207 nt
Filed under: uncultured bacterium
Lineage: Bacteria
Description: partial 16S ribosomal RNA
Rfam family: Bacterial small subunit ribosomal RNA
Source: RNAcentral